GAUGAACGCUGGCGGCGCGCCUAACACAUGCAAGUCGAACGAUUAAAGCACCUUCGGGUGUGUAUAAAGUGGCGAACGGCUGAGUAACACGUGGGCAACCUGCCCCUUUCAUUGGGAUAGCCACGGGAAACCGUGGAUAAUACCGAAUACUUCGAGACUUCCGCAUGGAAGACUCGAGAAAGCUCCGGCGGAGAGGGAUGGGCCCGCGGCCUGUUAGCUUGUUGGUGGGGUAACGGCCUACCAAGGCAAUGAUGGGUAGCUGGGUUGAGAGACCGACCAGCCAGAUGGGGACUGAGACACGGCCCAGACUCCUACGGGAGGCAGCAGUGGGGAAUCUUGCACAAUGGGCGAAAGCCUGAUGCAGCGACGCCGCGUGCGGGAUGAAGGCCUUCGGGUUGUAAACCGCUUUCAGCAGGGACGAGGCGAAAGUGACGGUACCUGCAGAAGAAGCCCCGGCUAACUACGU
RNAcentral lists this ribosomal RNA (466 nucleotides) under uncultured bacterium. Its description in RNAcentral is "partial 16S ribosomal RNA". It matches the Rfam family "Bacterial small subunit ribosomal RNA", at positions 28 to 506 of the family's 1533-position model. The record is from RNAcentral.